This 497-nucleotide ribosomal RNA is filed under the name uncultured bacterium. RNAcentral describes it as "partial 16S ribosomal RNA". It matches the Rfam family "Bacterial small subunit ribosomal RNA", at positions 28 to 507 of the family's 1533-position model. The record is from RNAcentral.
GAUGAACGCUGGCGGCGUGCCUAAUACAUGCAAGUCGAGCGAACAGACGAGGAGCUUGCUCCUCUGACGUUAGCGGCGGACGGGUGAGUAACACGUGGAUAACCUACCUAUAAGACUGGGAUAAAUUCGGGAAACCGGAGCUAAUACCGGAUAAUAUAGUGAACCGCAUGGUUCAAUAGUGAAAGACGGUUUUGCUGUCACUUAUAGAUGGAUCCGCGCCGCAUUAGCUAGUUGGUAAGGUAACGGCUUACCAAGGCGACGAUGCGUAGCCGACGUGAGAGGGUGAUCGGCCACACUGGAACUGAGACACGGUCCAGACUCCUACGGGAGGCACCAGUAGCGAAUCUUCCGCAAUGUGCGAAAGCCUGACGGAGCAACGCCGCGUGAGUGAUGAAGGUCUUCGGAUCGUAAAACUCUGUUAUUAGGGAAGAACAAAUGUGUAAGUAACUAUGCACGUCUUGACGGUACCUAAUCAGAAAGCCACGGCUAACUACGUG